GAGGGUCUGAGGGUCCUAAGGUAGGAAGGCAUGGCUGGUCCUAGGUGGUACAGAAAUGUUGCACUUUUUUAACAACUGAAGCAGCUAUAGUAGUGUGUCCCUGCUGGCCCUCGGCCCUGUGGGUUGGGGAAAUGUGGCAGGAGGAAGGUGACCCUCACUCUCCCCAGCCUCUGCUGUGUUGCAGGGGACGCUAUGAAGCACAUCAAGGUUCCAACUUAUGCCAAGGUCCAGUCCAUCACAAAGGUGUUUUACACCCAAAGUGGCAUCUGCCAUUUCCCACGGCAAACAGACCAGCUCACUUCUCUUGCAGAAUCCCAGACAUGUCGAAUGAUUGUCCGUGGACCCAUCUGAUGUUGGUGCUCACAGAAUCUGAUUGCUUAGAAGGCCUCGGGCAGCAGCAAGUCUUCAAGCUCCUUAGAAAAGGAAUGGCUGCAGCAUUUCUCAACUGGGAUUCUGUGAAUAAAUGAAACCCUACAGAAAAUGACACCAGUGACUUUUCUCAGUCCUCCCAGGAAUGACACCAUUCUACAGGCAUGGGAAAGAAGUUGAUUCAUUACAAACAGGGGCUGUCCCCGAAUGUUAGGGCUUAAUUCUUUCUGGAAGUCAGUUAAGAAAGGCUGGUGGGGAGUUUAUUUAGGUAUUUAAUGAAUACCUGUUUGAUAUCUGCGGGCAUUGUUCUAAGCCCUACACUGUCCAGUUCGGUAGUCAUGAUCCAACCACAUGUCCAUUGAGCAUUUGCAAUGAGUCUUAUCCAAAUUGUGAUGUACUCUAAGUAUAAAACACACACUGAAUUUCAAAGAUUUAGUAUAAUGAAAUGUAAAAUUUCUCAUUAAUAAUUUUUAUAUUGAAUUUUAUGUUGAAAUGACCAUACUUGGAUAGAUUGGGCUAAAUCAGAGGUUGACAAACUUUCCCUCUGAAAGACUGGAUAGUAAGAAUUUUCAGCUUUGUGGAUCACCUGGUCUCAACUAUGCAACUACUCAACUCUGCCAUUGCAGUGCAAAAUCAGCCAUAGACAAUAUAAAAACAAAUGGGCAUGGCUUGUUCCAAUAAAACUUUAUUUAAAAAAAACAGAUGGUGGGCCAGAUUUCCCCCACAGGCUGUAUAGUUUGCUGAUUUCUGUGUUAAAUAAAAUAUUAAAUAUAUUAA
Homo sapiens (human) is the source of this 1146-nucleotide long non-coding RNA. The record is from Ensembl. Lineage: Eukaryota; Metazoa; Chordata; Mammalia; Primates; Hominidae.